Molecule: unclassified non-coding RNA, 352 nt
Filed under: soil metagenome
Description: partial contains 5.8S ribosomal RNA, internal transcribed spacer 2, and large subunit ribosomal RNA
Rfam family: 5.8S ribosomal RNA (bases 1-120)
Source: RNAcentral
GAUGAAGAACGCAGUGAAAUGCGAAAAGUAAUGUGAAUUGCAGAAUUCAGUGAAUCAUCGAAUCUUUGAACGCACAUUGCGCCCGCUGGUACUCCGGCGGGCACGCCUGUCCGAGCGUCAUUUCAACCCUCACGCCCUCCUUCGGGAUGGGCCUGGUGUUGGGGCUCGGCCGCCAUCUCCGGCGGCCGUCCCCUAAAUACAGUGGCGGUCACGUCGCGACUCCUUUGCGUAGUAGAAACACCUCGCUCCGGAUAGCAACGCGGUCCACGCCGUAAAACCCCCAAUUUUCAAUGGUUGACCUCGGAUCAGGUGGGAAUACCCGCUGAACUUAAGCAUAUCAAUAAGCGGAAGA